RNAcentral lists this ribosomal RNA (468 nucleotides) under uncultured bacterium. RNAcentral's name for it is "partial 16S ribosomal RNA". It matches the Rfam family "Bacterial small subunit ribosomal RNA", at positions 28 to 507 of the family's 1533-position model. The record is from RNAcentral.
GACGAACGCUGGCGGCGUGCUUAACACAUGCAAGUCGAACGGAAAGGCCCUGCUUUUGUGGGGUGCUCGAGUGGCGAACGGGUGAGUAACACGUGAGUAACCUGCCCUUGACUUUGGGAUAACUUCAGGAAACUGGGGCUAAUACCGGAUAGGAGCUCCUGCUGCAUGGUGGGGGUUGGAAAGUUUCGGCGGGUGGGGAUGGACUCGCGGCUUAUCAGCUUGUUGGUGGGGUAGUGGCUUACCAAGGCUUUGACGGGUAGCCGGCCUGAGAGGGUGACCGGCCACGUUGGGACUGAGAUACGGCCCAGACUCCUACGGGAGGCAGCAGUGGGGAAUAUUGCACAAUGGGCGGAAGCCUGAUGCAGCAACGCCGCGUGCGGGAUGACGGCCUUCGGGUUGUAAACCGCUUUCGCCUGUGACGAAGCGUGAGUGACGGUAAUGGGUAAAGAAGCACCGGCUAACUACGUG